UGUCUCUGGGCUCUGCUCCGCUGUCUCUGGGCUCUGCUCCGCUGUCUCUGGGCUCUGCUCCGCUGUCUCUGGGCUCUGCUCCGCUGUCUCUGGGCUCUGCUCCGCUGUCUCAGGGCUCUGCUCCGCUGUCUCAGUCAGGGCUCUUGGCUUGCGUACUGUUACGUUUUGGUGACUCUUGUCUGGGGACAAUUAGUCAACUCCUGGGAGAGAGCCUGGCAAAAAACAAAAAAAAUCUCUUCUCACCCCCUCGCCCUCCAUCGCCUAUGAUUGGUGACGGAGGGCCAGGCAGAGUGAGCAUCCUAAAUGCCAUCCUAUUCCCUAUAUUGUGCACUACUUUUGAUCAGAAUCCCAUAGGGCUCUAUGCACAACAUAGGGAACAGGUUGCUGUUUGAGACGCAGCCAGUGUGCAGCAGAUGUUUCUGUAACUGCUCAGAGAACACCAGAGGUAGCAUGAGGCCAGGAAUGGGAAUGAGCAAGAGUCAUUGUACAAAAAGAGAGGAAACUGUUGGGCAUGUGGGUAUGUUAUGAUGAUCACUUUUCUUGGAAUGUGCCCAAUGAGAGAGAGACACACUACAGUCUACUGCCAGCCCUGUGGCUGUUUGUUGUCACGCUGCCAUGUUUGUUCCUAUGUAACGAGAGAACAGGGUGCUGGAGGUGUCAAGGAGGAUUAGGUCAGUCUAGUGGAUGUCAUAAGGUGAAUGCACCAAUUUGUAAGUCGCUCUGGAUAAGAGCGUCUGCUAAAUGACUUAAAUGUAAAUGUAAAUGUGACAGAACAGGGUGCUGGGGCUGUCAAGGAGGAUUAGGUCAGUCUGACAGAACAGGGUGCUGGAGGUGUCAAGGAGGAUUAGGUCAGUCUGACAGAACAGGGUGCUGGAGGUGUCAAGGAGGAUUAGGUCAGUCUGACAGAACAGGGUGCUGGAGGUGUCAAGGAGGAUUAGGUCAGUCUGACAGAACAGGGUGCUGGAGGUGUCAAGGAGGAUUAGGUCAGUCUGACAGAACAUGGUGCUGGAGGUGACAAGGAGGAUUAGGUCAGUCUGACAGAACAGGGUGCUGGAGGUGUCAAGGAGGAUUAGGUCAGUCUGACAGAACAUGGUGCUGGAGGUGUCAAGGAGGAUUAGGUCAGUCUGACAGAACAGGGUGCUGGAGGUGUCAAGGAGGAUUAGGUCAGUCUGACAGAACAGGGUGCUGGUGGUGUCAAGGAGGAUUAGGUCAGUCUGACAGAACAGGGUGCUGGUGGUGUCAAGGAGGAUUAGGUCAGUCUGACAGAACAUGGUGCUGGAGGUGUCAAUGAGGAUUAGGUCAGUCUGACAGAACAUGGUGCUGGAGGUGUCAAUGAGGAUUAGGUCAGUCUGACAGAACAUGGUGCUGGAGGUGUCAAGGAGGAUUAGGUCAGUCUGACAGAACAGGGUGCUGGUGGUGUCAAGGAGGAUUAGGUCAGUCUGACAGAACAGGGUGCUGGAGGUGUCAAGGAGGAUUAGGUCAGUCUGACAGAACAGGGUGCUGGAGGUGUCAAGGAGGAUUAGGUCAGUCUGACAGAACAGGGUGCUGGUGGUGUCAAGGAGGAUUAGGUCAGUCUGACAGAACAGGGUGCUGGAGGUGUCAAGGAGGAUUAGGUCAGUCUGACAGAACAGGGUGCUGGUGGUGUCAAGGAGGAUUAGGUCAGUCUGACAGAACAGGGUGCUGGAGGUGUCAAGGAGGAUUAGGUCAGUCUGACAGAACAGGGUGCUGGUGGUGUCAAGGAGGAUUAGGUCAGUCUGACAGAACAGGGUGCUGGAGGUGUCAAGGAGGAUUAGGUCAGUCUGACAGAACAGGGUGCUGGAGGUGUCAAGGAGGAUUAGGUCAGUCUGACAGAACAGGGUGCUGGAGGUGUCAAGGAGGAUUAGGUCAGUCUGACAGAACAGGGUGCUGGAGGUGACGAGGAGGAUUAGGUCAGUCUGGGAACAUUCACACCGGCCGGCGAUGAACAGUGACACUACACACACACACACAAAAAAAAGAGAGAGCGAUCAAAGAGCUCUGUUCUUUCUGAGUUCUGGCUGCUCUCUGACCAAUAGUUUUAUAGAUGGCUGGUCUGGUGGCUGGUCAGUUCUAGGUCUAUAUCCAUCAAGCCAUGACGUGUGUACAGUACAACCUGCCAACUUGGCCACACAGACAGGCAGAAUGGAGAGAUGGGUUGCUGCUCAGGGUCUCAGAGAGAAAGGUUACUGUUAAGGUUUUAGGAGGUGAGAAAUACCAUUGAACCUGAGACACUGACAUAAAUCAAGGCUCUACUUAGAUCCAAGGGGCCAAAGCUAAGAGGGUACAGACCCACAGACCUGAAAAUAGCUUGUAUGAAGGGAAGGGUAAGUCACUUGUAUGACUUGACGCAGUGGUAACUGGGAAGCUCAAUGUCAAGAACCUAUUGACACACCUUCGUCUCGUUCUAUACUGAUGGGCUUUCCAGAUCAUCCUGAGCAGAGCUGCUAGAAUACACCAGACCUGAAAGUUCCUCACAGCAUUAGUGGAACCUGCAUUAAUGGGAUUAGAACAGGCUGAAAACAUGCUGAGUGUGCGUCAGGGAGGGACCAUAAACAUUCUGAUUAUCACUCACACGAUUUGUCCCUCUUCAGCCAUAAAAUGAAACAAGCCUGUUCCUCCACUUCACUGUAACUGGGCUCUGCACAUUCAUUGCAUAAUAAGCAUUCUCACAACAUUUAGCACAUUUUUCAGGAGACAAUAUUUGCAGUGUGUUGCCUUUCAAAGAGAGGUUGAAUAUAAAUACUCUCAGCUGAUAGUCACAGUAAAUGUCUUUAAUUUUUAUUUUCUUUCAACAUUUUUAUGCAACAGGUUAUUUGAGGAACAUUGUCUAACCAUGAGUGAGGGGUACAAGGUCACCAACACCAGUUUCUCUCUCCCCGUGAUCCUUUCAGCAGGCAGCUCCACUUGACCGCUCAGGUUCACAUUGCCUGCUGCUGUGGAUGUUCCCAGCUUCUCUCUCCCCGUGAUCCUUUCAGCAGGCAGCUCCACUUGACAGCUCAGGUUCACAUUGCCUGCUGCUGUGGAUGUUCCCAGCUUCUCUCUCCCUGUGAUCCUUUCAGCAGGCAGCUCCACUUGACAGCUCAGGUUCACAUUGCCUGCUGCUGUGGAUGUUCCCAGCUUCUCUCUCCCUGUGAUCCUUUCAGCAGGCAGCUCCACUUGACAGCUCAGGUUCACAUUGCCUGCUGCUGUGGAUGUUCCCAGCUUCUCUCUCCCCGUGAUCCUUUCAGCAGGCAGCUCCACUUGACAGCUCAGGUUCACAUUGCCUGCCGCUGUGGAUGUGACACUUCCGCUAUUAAUAGUUGUUUUUCCAAAAGUUCAGCUUUUCUACUUUGGGCCCUGUGUCUACUGUACCAACCACAUAGCUACUCAAUGAAUAGCCUCAUUAAAUUAAGUCCUGCACCACUUCAUCUUAUUGGCUACGUAUUAAAAUGCAAUGUAUUACUACUUUGAUUCAAUCAGGACUAGGCCUGGGAAUUGCCAGGGACAUAACGGUACUGUCAAGAUACUUCGGUGGCGAUAUGAUAUUUAUUGCGACUCUCACGGUUCUAUAUGUAUUGCGAUUCGAUACUGCUUUUAAUAUAUAUUUAUGAUUUGAUAUUCCAGACAUAUUGCUCACUAUUUGUCUAAGCCGAGAGCAUUAGAAAAGUCAUGGAAAUGAAAGUGCUGAAAAGAUUUUGGCUCACUUUAAAAAGAUGGAUUUAUAAUUUAUAUAUUUUUAUUUUACAAAUGGAUAGUUGUAAGUCAAAGUAUUGAUGAUAUAGUAUUGUCCUUUUUUAAUAUUUCGAUAUGUAACUGGAUCCAUUUCCCCAUCACUAAUCACAACUGACCUUACAUCAUGAUUCCCAGCUCUUCCAUAUUUUCAUACAUUAAUGAUUAUCACUAAUGAAACAUUUCAGUGUAUAGUGUUGAAAAUGACCCUCUCUCACUCUGUGUUAUUAACUGAGGAAGAAGGCUGUCCUGGUGUGACCAGAAGAAUACCCAGCUGACUGAGUGAACCAGUUCCACACUGUGACUGCACAGGGAGGGAGGGGAAGAGUGAGGGUUGGAGGGAUACAGAUGAUUAACAGUAAUUAUUAUUUUCACUGACCUGAGUGAAAUGACGGGGAUUGACUUUGUGUGCAUCCCAAAUGGCACCCUACUCCCUAUUUAGUGCACUACUUUUGACCAUGACCCAUAGGAUUCUGGUCAUAAGUAGUGCACUAUUCAAGAGAAUAGGGUUCCAUUUGGGAUGCACAUGUUGAAGAACGAGGCACGCGUUGAAGAACGAGGCACGCGUUGAAGAACGAGGCACGCGUUGAAGAACGAGGCACGCGUUGAAGAACGAGGCACGCGUUGAAGAACGAGGCACGGCAGCAACCCUUUCCAAUCGCCACCUGUCCGUCUGCUUCCAUGGAUUUUAUUUUUUUUCCAUCAGUGGUGAAUCCCACAUUUGACCUCCAGAUGAAUCUUCUGUUGAAUCUGUGUUUAGCACUGUGUGAUGUGUCAUGGGCAAUGUGAAAUGAGCCUUACGUUGGGGGCAUUCAGAAUGUUAUAGCCUACACUGAGUAUGCUAUUACUUUGGCGUUUUGUAGUGGGAAACCAAUAAAUGUUUUAGUUUUUUUUUGUAAACUGUCUCACGUUAAUACUACAGACACAGAGGAAUGUCUUAUCAGCCUACAUACCAGACCUGUUUGCUAUCAUUCCACUCCUUGCCACUCCUUGUCAUAUGACAAACAAAAAUGUCCAAACUAAUUCAUUGCCUACUUCAAGUAACUUGUGAUGCAUGAACUUUUUUAAACAAGUCCUGUAAAAUGUAGGCUAAUGGGGACCAUUGACUGAAGUACACAAUAUAUACAAAAGUAAGUGGACACCGCUUCAAAUUUGUGGAUACCGCUAUUUCAGCAACACCUGUUAGUGACAGGUGUAUAAAACCGAGCACACAACCAUGCAAUCUCCAUAGACAAACAUUCACAGUAAAAGGGCCUUACUGAAGAGCUCAGUGACUUUCAACAUGGCAUCGUCAUAGGAUGCUGCCUUUCCAACAAGUUAGUUCGUCAAAUGUAUAGAGCUGCCCUGGUCAACUGUAAUAGAUGUUAUUGUGAAGUGGAAAUAUCUAUGCAUAACAGCGUCUCAGUCGUGAAUUGGUAGGCCGCACAAGCUUACAGAACGGGACCGCUGAGUGUUGGGCGUAAAAAAUCUGUCCUCGGUUGCAACACUCCGUACCAAGUUCCAAACUGCCUCUGGAAGCAUCGUCAGGACAAGAAAUGUUAGUUGGGGAGUUUCAUGAAGUGGGUUUUCAUAGCCGAACAGCCGUACACAAGCCUAAUAUCACCAUGCGCAAUGCCAAGCAUCGGCUGGAGUGGUCUAAAGCUCACCGCCGUUGGACUCUGAAGCAGUGGAAACGUGUUCUCUAGAGUGACUAAUCACGCUUCACCAUCUGGCAGUCCGACUGACGAAUCUGGGUUUGGCGUAUGCCAGGAGAACGCUACCUGCCCCAAUGCAUAGGCCCCCUUGCUUCCAGUGAAGGGAAUUCUAGACGAUUCUGUGCUUCCAACUUUGUGGCAAUGGUUUGGUGAAGACUCUUUCCUGUUUCAGCAUGACAGUGCCCCCGUGUACAAAGUGAGUUUCAGACAGAAAUGGUUUGUUGAGAUCGGUGUGGAAGAACUUGACUGGCCUGCACAGAGCCAUGACCUCAACCCCAUUGAACACCUUUAGGAUGAAUUGGAACGCCAACUGCGAGCCAGGCUUAAUCGCCGAACAUCAGUUCCCUGAACUCACUAAUGCUCUUGGGGCUGAAUGGAAGCAAGUCCCCGCAGCAAUGUUCCAACAUCUAGUGGAAUGCCUUCCCAGAAGAGUGGAGGCUGUUAUAGAAUCAAAGGGGGGACCAACUCCAUGUUAAUGCCCCCGGUUUUGGAAUGCGAUGUUCGACGAGCAGGUGUCCGCAUACUUUUGGUCAUGUAGUGUAGCAUGCGUUGUUCCUAAACCAGGCUUUAUCUCCAUCAGGAACAGCGUUGCUCCUUGCUAUCUCAAGGCCAUCAGACUGUUAAACAGCCACCACUAACAGUGUGAGUGGCUGCUGCCAACACACUGUCAUUGACACUGACCCAACUCCAGCCAUUUUAAUAAUGGGAAUUGAUGGGAAUUAUGUAAAUAUAUCACUAGCCACUUUAAACAAUGCUACCUUAUAUAAUGUUACUUACCCUACAUUAUUCAUCUCAUAUGCAUAUGUAUAUACUGUACUCUACAUCAUCGACUGCAUCCUUAUGUAACACAUGUAUCACUAGCCACUUUAACUAUGCCACUUUGUUUACUUUGUCUACACACUCAUCUCAUAUGUAUAUACUGUACUCGAUACCAUCUACUGUACCAUCACUCAUUCAUAUAUCCUUAUGUACAUGUUCCUUAUCCCCUUACACUGUGUAUAAGACAGUAGUUUUGGAAUUGUUAGUUAGAUUACUUGUUGGUUAUCACUGCAUUGUCGGAACUAGAAGCACAAGCAUUUCGCUACACUCGCAUUUAACAUCUGCUAACCAUGUGUAUGUGACAAAUAAAAUUUGAUUUGAUUUGAAUAGCAGUGACCAUAAUAUCAGGGUCGUUCCAUGUCAUUUCAGCAAGCCAUGUCAACAGCUCAGAUUGUUCUGAGAUCAUCUCUGUAGUUAGAAACAUAAGAUUAGCAUUCCUGCAACAUUAUUUUGUUGAAAUAUCAUAUUUGAUCUCUGAGAUUAAUAUUCAUUAACUUCAUAGCAAAGGAUUGUCUUAUGAUUUGACGGGUGCAUGUGCGUAGUUUGGUGUGAGAUGGCCUGUAGACCCAAUAACAUGUUUCUGCACAUGCGCUUAGCUAGCCAACGUCACCAUGACUUCACCUACAAGUGUUAUCAGGGACCACUAUGGAAAGAUGACUCUCAUGAACACGAUGGCGUUCUCCGGUUUGCUUUACGAUCCCUGUGUGCAACUGGCAAAGCAAUAGAUUUCUCAGGACAUACCAAAAGCAGUAGGCCUAAUUCUGGUAUAGCAGCAGGCAGUGUGUUCUACUGUCCUGUAAAUCACUCAACUGAAUAUCUAUUUUAACCAAAGAUUCCUACCAUAACUUGGUCAAAGCAAGGAAAUUAGUUCUCCCACUACUUUCACUUCAUUUUUGUCCACAGCCAUAUCUCCCUGUUGUACCUCUGUUCACACUGCACCUUAGCCCAGGGCUAACCGCUUCCCUGGGCUCAGGGAGAUUUUAGCCUGGGGCUGAGAUCACACUUGCACAUUCUAAAGUGGGCUAGCACCAAUCUUAUCCUAGGACUAGCUGGCUCUGCUCUGGAGCAGGGUUAGCACUGACUUUUCAGGGUUCGUCCCAGAAACACGGUGCCAAAAUAGCCAGUAUGAAACGGGGUCAAGAACAACGCCUAGAAUCCUCACUGUCCAAUCACAAAGCUGCACUGUCACUUAAUAGAUAUGCCUGUAAUCUGUUCUGAAUAUUAUUUUGAUAAGUAAAUUCAUACAAUUUCAUCCUUCCAUUUGAGGACAAAAACCAACAAAUGCUUUCAACAGGGCAAAAACGUUUAGUUGCUAUGCCUAACAAAAAUGGUUGCUAUGCAGCAGACUGGCUAACAUCUUCUCUAAAGCUGCAAACACUACAGCUGGAAGGGCAGCAAAUGCUAAAUUUGUCUGUUUUCAGAGCUUUUUAUUUGCAUUACAAUUGGCUAUAUCCAUGAUGCUGAUAAUAUUGUUGUGAUUUUUGCCUGGAUCAGAAAAGUUUGUCGUUCAUGCACAGAAUUCUCUGCACAGUGGCAAGAUACAAGUUUUGGUACAGUGCUUGGAAUACAAGUGUGAAUCCUUAGCCCAGGGCUAAAGUUUAGCCCAGGGUUAAGAAAGGCUUGUGUGAACACAGGCUAAGCUAGCCCAGGACCAGUCUUGUCAUAACAGCCUGGUGCUAAGAACAAUGCAGUUUGAAAAGGCCUCUUGUGAACCUGUCCAGAGAGGCUUGGAUACCAAGCUAAACUCCUGGGUAGCUGCCCUUCUGCAGCAGUAUGUUAGUUCACUAAUCUACCACAAUAUAACUCCUGAUGCGCUCAACUGCACCUCAGGACCUUGUUUGGCUGAAUCAGCUGUAAGCCCAAAUUCACUGCUUAUACUUGCAUAACUUUCUGAGCUGGAUUUCCUGUUUUGUCAUUUAGUUUAUUUUUCUUUUCUGCUCAUUAGCAUAUUUAGCUAUCAGCCUCUAUUGAAAUUUGCUGUUAGUUUAUGCUAGAUUUGUCAGCAUUCUUAUAAUAGAUGACCAAUGCGAUUUUUUUUUGUUUUUUUAGCUCCCCUUGUGUACCAAGAUGGGAAUACAGUUCAUCCCUGGAUGAGAGAAGGACAUGAAGGUUGUGAGGAUUCUCGAUACCAUACUGUCUCGCGAAAACCAUGUGUUAACGUAGCUAGAACAAACUGUGGCUCAAAGCAUCCUCCUAAAUGUUUUUAGUCAGACAUUCACACUUGCCAUACAGACUUCAAAUAUCUAGCCAAUACAUUUUGAAUCGAAUAACAUUGCUUGUGAACUUCAGAGCUGUCAUGAUUUGAUGCUUUGGUUCUUGGCCAAUACAAACACAUUUUAGUAGUAUUCAUCGCUCCUGCUUGUGUCUAUACAUUCUGGGUGAUGCGAUAUGUCUUCAUUGGCUUUUUCUCUGGCAAGCUCUCAUUUGACUAUUGCUGAUUUGUUCUAAAAACUAGUUGUUGCACAUCUCACUACAAGAGCAUUGCAGAAUCUGUACAGAUAAAAACCAACGUGUUUGAAAAUAUCGGGACGUCUGGGACUGCUCAAAGACUGGAUCGAUAGCUCGCAUUUAAACGAGGGUCAGUGACGUCUGCGCACCACCGAGUAGGCAACAACGUGCAGAUUUUGUCUCCGAUCUCAACUUGUCUGGGACAGCUAAAUCAGGAAGAAAAUUGUGCAGUGUGCGCCCGGCUUUAGGGUUGGCCGCCUCAGGCUAAUAUACGAACUAUGGGGUUAGAGGUCCGUGCUCUGUCUCCUCCUGUGAAGACUUUAUUUACAGUCGGAUUCCCAUGGUGUGGCACCAUAUUUCCUGUAUAGUGCACUUAAUAGGGAAUGGGGUGCCGUUUUGGGAUGCGUGUGUUCUAAUGGCUCAGACCUCAGGUCAAACCGACUGACGUGCCCUGACGUGGUGAGGUCUUCCUUGGCUCUGUCAGUCUGGGGUCAGUGUUUUACAAGCGUUCCAUCCCGAGAAUAAAUAAUUUAUUCUCCUGAUUUAACCUGGUAUUUCCUGCCCAAACCAGAAGUGUCAUUCAAUAGCAUUAUGAAGCAUAUAUAAUUUUUUUUUUUUUGCCUUCUCACCUCAUUUGCUCACAUUGUGUAUAUAUAAUUAUUUUUUUACUUUAUUAUUGACUGUAUGUUUGUUUUACUCUGUGUAACUCUGUUGUGUCUAUAACUGCUUUGCUUUAUCUUAGCCAGGUCGCAAUUGUAAAUGAUAACUUGUUCUCAACUUGCCAACCUGGUUAAAUAAAGGUGAAAUAAAAAAUAUA
Molecule: long non-coding RNA, 9504 nt
Organism: Oncorhynchus keta (chum salmon)
Lineage: Eukaryota; Metazoa; Chordata; Actinopteri; Salmoniformes; Salmonidae
Exons: 4
Source: RefSeq, a predicted model, not a curated record